This 466-nucleotide ribosomal RNA is filed under the name uncultured bacterium. RNAcentral describes it as "bacterial SSU rRNA". It matches the Rfam family "Bacterial small subunit ribosomal RNA", at positions 329 to 792 of the family's 1533-position model. The record is from RNAcentral.
GCCCAGACUCCUACGGGAGGCAGCAGUGAGGAAUAUUGGUCAAUGGGCGCGAGCCUGAACCAGCCAAGUCGCGUGAGGGAUGACGGUCCUACGGAUUGUAAACCUCUUUUGCCGGGGAGCAAGCGUGCGUUCGUGAACGCGCGUCGAGAGUACCCGGAGAAAAAGCAUCGGCUAACUCCGUGCCAGCAGCCGCGGUAAUACGGAGGAUGCGAGCGUUAUCCGGAUUUAUUGGGUUUAAAGGGUGCGUAGGCGGGAUGCCAAGUCAGCGGUAAAAAUGCGGUGCUCAACGCCGUCGAGCCGUUUGAACUGGCGCGCUUGAGUUCAGGCGAGGUAGGCGGAAUUCGUGGUGUAGCGGUGAAAUGCAUAGAUAUCACGAAGAACUCCGAUUGCGAAGGCAGCUUACCAGUCUGCGACUGACGCUCAGGCACGAAAGUGUGGGUAUCGAACAGGAUUAGAUACCCAGGUA